AUUGAACGCUGGCGGUAGGCCUAACACAUGCAAGUCGAGCGGAAGCACCGUGCUUGCUCCCUCAUACAGCUGCCGACUGGCGAGUAAGUGCUAGGAACCUCGCUGUCUGCUGUUUCUAGCGUCCUGAAACGGGGGCUCAUACGCCAUUACCCCAUAGGACGUACGUGGGAGAGCAUCGGACCUUCCGCCCUUACGUGAGUCAAUGUCGGAUUAGCUAGUUGGUGGGGUAAAGGCCUACCAAGGCGACGAUGCGUAGAUGGUCUGAGAGGAUGAGCAGGCACACUGGAACUGAGACACGGUCCAGACUCCUACGGGAGGCAGCAGUGGGGAAUAUUGGACAAUGGGCGGAAGCCUGAUCCAGCCAUGCCGCGUGGUUGAAGAAGGGCUUCGGGUUGUAAAGCCCUUUUAGUUGGGAAGAAAGGCAGUAAGUUAAUACCCUGCUGUUUUGACGGUACCAACAGAAUAAGCACCGGCUAACUUCGUG
Molecule: ribosomal RNA, 484 nt
Filed under: uncultured bacterium
Lineage: Bacteria
Description: partial 16S ribosomal RNA
Rfam family: Bacterial small subunit ribosomal RNA
Source: RNAcentral